AGUGAACGCUGGCGGUAGGCCUAACACAUGCAAGUCGAACGGCAGCACAGUAAGAGCUUGCUCUUACGGGUGGCGAGUGGCGGACGGGUGAGGAAUACAUCGGAAUCUACUUUUUCGUGGGGGAUAACGUAGGGAAACUUACGCUAAUACCGCAUACGACCUACGGGUGAAAGCAGGGGAUCUUCGGACCUUGCGCGAUUGAAUGAGCCGAUGUCGGAUUAGCUAGUUGGCGGGGUAAAGGCCCACCAAGGCGACGAUCCGUAGCUGGUCUGAGAGGAUGAUCUGCCACACUGGAACUGAGACACGAUCCAGACUCCUACGGGAGGCAGCAGUGGGGAAUAUUGGACAAUGGGCGCAAGCCUGAUCCAGCCAUACCGCGUGGGUGAAGAAGGCCUUCGGGUUGUAAAGCCCUUUUGUUGGGAAAGAAAAGCAGCAGGUUAAUACCCCGCUGUUCUGACGGUACCCAAAGAAUAAGCACCGGCUAACUUCGUG
RNAcentral lists this ribosomal RNA (492 nucleotides) under uncultured bacterium. RNAcentral describes it as "partial 16S ribosomal RNA". It matches the Rfam family "Bacterial small subunit ribosomal RNA", at positions 29 to 507 of the family's 1533-position model. The record is from RNAcentral.